AAGAAAGUGACUUUUAUCGACUUCUUCUGGAGUUUAGAGACUCUGACAUGAAGCAGGCUUUCCUUACUGAGGAGUUAGCAACGCUGCUAAGGGUGCAGAGCCACACAUGCGCUCCGAGCUCUGCAUGGGAGACUGAAGCUGACAGAGCUGCAGCAGUUAGCAGGUUUCACCCUCAGAGACCACCAGGGGUUCAUGUUGAGGCAUUUUCAGUUUUUUUUUUUUUUUUUUGCCAUAGACACUGUCAGCACAAUCUGCAGUUACACUAACAAAAAUGCUGCAAAAAACAAAGAAUUAUGGAAAAAUUACACAUGGACUAACAUAGAGGAGGAUCUACACAAGUUUUUUACAUCAUGUUUUACAUCAUGCAUCAUUUACAUCAUGUUUUUUUGUAGUGGCAUAAAUAAAAAGUGACAUUUGUGAGACUAUACAGUGUUUUGUAAAUAAUUUUACAAAGAACACCUGGGCCAUUGCCUGCAUUUUGAUGUAAAUAGAGGUAAAUUACUAUGUUCUUUGUUAAAAAUUUGCAUAUGUUUUGAAGUUUACAAUUUUUAUUUGAAGUUUAAGUUUUAAAAACAGUUCAUCACACAUAUUUGUGGUUUUCACAGUAAAAACGUUACUUUUUUCCACUCGGAUUUUAUGUUUUGUGUGUGAAUUUGGGUCCAAUGUGUAAAUAUAGUAUGUCAAAAUGAUAAAAUAACUGUAAAUUGACACAGGUGAGGUUGUGCUGAAAAAAAUGAUACCAGGCAAGGCAAGGUAAAAAUUUUGUAAGAGGAAAUAUAAAGGUAAAAUCUAAAGUAGUCAAAAACGGCCAAUAGUGACUCACAGACUCCACAGACAAGUCCCUUUGGCGCCACUCAGUGGGCAAAACUACUUUGUCUACUGUAAUGUAUAUUUGGGUCAUCUUUGGCGCCCCCUAAAACGUAAACCGUGGGGUGCAGCGUCAUGAUUUUUACAACUUUGAAUGGCCAUGGAGUGUAGAUUGGCCUGAGCAAAUUUGGUGUCAGUGGGACGAAAGCCUUAGGAGGAGUUAGCGAAAUUCCAAUGUGUGCGAAUCAGCAAAAAAUGCAAAAUAGCCCUUUUACCGUACAUUAUACAGAUACGCGCUCUUUGACUUUUUCGUAGAUCUAAUUGAGAUACACAUGAUUGUCAAUUUUUGUGUCAUUUUGCCAAAGCGUACAGGCGUGACAGUCAACAAUGUGUAUUUUCACCUUAGGGGACAAGAAAAAAUGGACUUUUUUCUCCUGCCAUGGGGGGGCGCUCUUUUGGGGAGUAAAAAUUCCUUCACAAAUGUGUUGAUGGCUGGACAUUGCAUCAUCCUAGAAAACUUGGAGGCCAGUGAGGACAAAAAUAAAAAGUUAUAAGACUUUUAAAAAUGUGGAUUUUUGGGUUAUCUUUGGCGCCCCCUAGAACCUAAACCGUGGGGUGCAGCGUCAUGAUUUGAAUAACUUUUAAUGGCCAUGGGGUGUAGAUUGGCCUGAGCAAAUGUGGUGCCGGUGGAACGAAAGCCUUCGGAGGAGUUAGCGAAAUUCCAAUGUGUGCGGAUCGGCAAAAAAUGCGAAAUAACCCUUUAACCGUACAUUUGACAGAUACGCCCGCACUGACUUUUUUGUAGAUCUUAUUGAGAUACAUGUGUGUGUCAAUUUUUGUGUCAUUUUGACAAAGCGUACAGGCGUGACAGUCAAUAGUGUGAAUUUUCACCUUAGGGGGCGCUAUGGAGCCAUUUUGCAUUUUCUUGUUUGGGCGACUUCGGAAUAUCAAAUUUUUCACCAGGCCCGGUCGUCCUGCCAAAUUUCAUGAGUUUUCGCCAGUGGGAAGUGGGCCAUUUUCCAGUUCAAAGGGGAGGAAAAAUAAUAACUAGGGCCCCGGUGGGGCACUGUCGGGCCCGAGCCACGUUGCGCCGCCCCCAGCGCGACCGCCUCCCCCUCCCGAUCGCGUCACACUAAAGGUCCAAAGAUGGUGUGCGCACUUGUCUGUGGUCAUUUCCCAUUAUAAUGAAUGGGAGGCGCAGUUUCUACCAAAACACUCGCUGCAGACAAACUACAUGUCCUAUUUGAAAAAAGUCUGGACCAUGAGUGAGGGCACAAACACAGCUAGGAUAUAUCCAAAUGGCAAGUUGCUCCUCGUUACGGUGUUGCUGGGAGAGUGAUGCGAUUGAGCCAUUGAGUGAUGGGCAGGAAAAACUUGACUGUUUCUCCUGCCAUGGGGGUUGGGGGUUGGGGGUUGGGGGUUGGGGGAUGGGGGGGGGGGAUGCGGAUUCUUUUAAGAAUGUGGAUAUUUUGGUCAUCUUUGGCGCCCCCUAGAACGUAAACCGUGGGGUGCAGCGUCAUGAUUUUUACAACUUUGAAUGGCCAUGGGGUGUAGAUUGGCCUGAGCAAAUUUGGUGUCAGUGGGACGAAAGCCUUAGGAGGAGUUAGCCACAUUCCAAUGUGUGCGAAUCGGCAAAAAAUGCAAAAUAGCCCUUUAACCGUACAUUUUACAGAUACGCGCCCAUUGACUUUUUCGUAGAUCUUAUUGAGAUACAUGUGAUUGUCAAAUUUUGUGUCAAUAUGACAAAGCGUACAGGUAUGACAGUCAACAAUGUGUUUUUUCACCUUAUGGGACAAGAAAAAAUGGACUUUUUUCUCCUGCCAUGGGGGGGGCGCUCUUUUGGGGAGUAAAAAUUCCUUCACAAAUGUGUUGAUGGCUGGACAUUGCAUCAUCCUAGAAAACUUGGAGGCCAGUGAGGACAAAAAUAAAAAGUUAUAAGACUUUGAAAUAUGUGGAUUUUAGGGUUAUCUUUGGCGCCCCCUAGAACCUAAACCGUGGGGUGCAGCGUCAUGAUUUGAAUAACUUUUAAUGGCCAUGGGGUGUAGAUUGGCCUGAGCAAAUGUGGUGCCGGUGGAAAGCCAGCCUUAGGAGGAGUUAGCGAAAUUCCAAUGUGUGCGAAUCGGCAAAAAAUGCGGAAUAACCCAUUAACCGUACAUUUGACAGAUACGCCCGCACUGACUUUUUUGUAGAUCUUAUUGAGAUACAUAUGUGUGUCAAUUUUUGUGUCAUUUUGACAAAGCGUAAAGGCGUGACAGUCAAUAGUGUGAAUUUCCACCUUAGGGGGCGCUAUGGAGCCAUUUUGCAUUUUCUUGUUUGGGCGACUUCGGAAUAUCAAAUUUUUCACCAGGCCCGGUCAUCCUGCCAAAUUUCAUGAGUUUUCGCCAGUGGGAAGUGGGCCAUUUUCCAGUUCAAAGGGGAGGAAAAAGAACACUUGCCACAGCCAGCCUCGUGAGUGCCUAGCCUAUUGGAUAUCACUGUCACCUACACAGGACAGUCAUACUUUGUUUUGUAAUUAGGGCCCGAGCCAGCUGCAGAGCAGCCGGGCGUAGGCCCUAUUAUUCCCCAAGUGGUUUUUCUUUGUUUCUUUCUUUCUUUCUUUCUUUCUUUCUUUCUUCUUUUUCCUCCCCUUUGAACUGGAAAAUGGCCCACUUCCCACUGGCGAAAACUCAUGAAAUUUGGCAGGAUGACCGGGCCUGGUGAAAAAUUCGAUAUUCUGAAGUCGCCCAAACAAUAAAAUGCAAAAUGGCUCCAUAGCGCCCCCUAAGGUGGAAAUUCACACUAUUGACUGUCACGCCUGUACGCUUUGUCAUAUUGACACAAAAAUUGACACACAUAUGUAUCUCAAUAAGAUCUACAAAAAAGUCAGUGCGGCCGUAUCUGUCAAAAUUACGGUUAAAGGGUUAUUUCGCAUUUUUUGCCGAUCCGCACACAUUGGAAUUUCGCUAACUCCUCCGAAGGCUUUCGUUCCACCGGCACCACAUUUGCUCAGGCCAAUCUACACCCCGUGGCCAUUAAAAGUUAUCAAAAUCAUGACGCUGCACCCCAAGGUUUAGGUUCUAGGGGGCGCCAAAGAUAACACUAAAAUCCACAUAUUUAAAAGUCUUAUAACUUUUUAUUUUUGUCCUCACUGGCCUCCAAGUUUUCUAGGAUGAUGCAAUGUCCAGCCAUCAACACAUUUGUGAAGGAAUUUUUACUCCCCAAAAGAGCGCCCCCCAUGGCAGGAGAAAAAAGUCCAUUUUUUCUUGUCCCCUAAGGUGAAAAUACACAUUGUUGAGUGUCACGCCUAUACGCUUUGUCAAAAUGACACAAAAAUUGACACACACAUGUAACUCAAUAAGAUCUACGAAAAAGUCAAUGCGCGCGUAUCUGUCAAAUGUACGGUUAAAGGGUUAUUCCUUAUUUUUUGCCGAUCCGCACACAUUGGAAUGUGGCUAACUCCUCCUAAGGCUUUCGUUCCACCGGCACCACAUUUGCUCAGGCCAAUCUACACCCCAUGGCCAUUAAAAGUUAUUCAAAUCAUGACGCUGCACCCCACGGUUUAGGUUCUAGGGGGCGCCAAAGAUAACCCUAAAAUCCACAUAUUUAAAAGUCUUAUAACUUUUUAUUUUUGUCCUCACUGGCCUCCAAGUUUUCUAGGAUGAUGCAAUGUCCAGCCAUCAACACAUUUGUGAAGGAAUUUUUACUCCCCAAAAGAGCGCCCCCCCCCCCAUGGCAGGAGAAAAAAGUCCAUUUUUUCUUGUCCCCUAAGGUGAAAAUACAUAUUGUUGAGAUUCACGCCUAUACGCUUUGUCAUAUUGACACAAAAUUUGACAAUCACGUGCCUUGCCUGGUAUCAUUUUUUUCAGCACAACCUCACCUGUGCGAAUUUACAGUUAUUUUAUCAUGUUGACAUACUGAAUUUACACAAUGGACCCAAAUUCACACACAAAACAUAAAAUCCGAGUGGAAAAAAGUAACAUUUUUACUGUGAAAACCACAAAUAUGUGUGAUGAACUGUUUUUAAAACUUGAACUUCAAAUAAAAAUUGUAAACUUCAAAACAUAUGCAAAUUUUAAACAAAGAACAUAGUGAUUUACCUCUAUUUACAUCAAAAUGCAGGCAAUGGCCCAGGCGUUCUUUGUAAAAUUAUUUACAAAACACUGUAUAGUCUCACAAAUGUCACUUUUUAUUUAUGCCACUACAAAAAAACAUGAUGUAAAUGAUGCAUGAUGUAAAACAUGAUGUAAAAAACUUGUGUAGAUCCUCCUCUAUGUCAGUCCAUGUGUAAUUUUUCCAUAAUUCUUUGUUUUUUGCAGCAUUUUUGUUAGUGUAACUGCAGAUUGUGCUGACAGUGUCUAUGGCACAAAAAAAAAAGAAAUUAAAAUGCCUCAACAUGAACCCUUGGUGGUCUCUGAGGGUGAAACCUGCUAACUGCUGCAGCUCUGUCAGCUUCAGUCUCCCAUGCAGAGCUCUGAGCGCAUGUGUGGCUCUGCACCCUUAGCAGCGUUGCUAACUCCUCAGUAAGGAAAGCCUGCUUCAUGUCAGAGUCUCUAAACUCCAGAAGAAGUCGAUAAAAGUCCCUUUCUUUCUAAAAAAAAGUCGUUAGGGGGUCUGAAAAGUCAUUGAAUCUAACUACAAAGUCGCUAGGUUUGCAACUACGUGUCCCAGACUGCAUCCCUGCUGAGAGUCCCUCCCUCGUUUCUCAUGUUGCAGGAAGAACGUAAGCGCCCGCCCCUUGUCAAUCAGUCACCAUAUAAUUUUGGAUUGGUUGUUGUGGUGAAGUUUUCCACCAAUAGGAGAGAUGUUGUGGUGUGUUUUUUUUUUCUUUUGGCAAGCCUUUUCCGCCUGUAAGACCUGUCGCUAAUGUCUGCAUGCUAUGUUUUCCUGUCUCAUACAGCGCGAUCGAGCGCCGAACGUGAUCAAAAUAAGCAGAAAAAAAGUAUCGCGGACAUAAUUUAUCAUAACUCUGGUUUUAUUUGGCCUAUCAACACAAUUUAAAAACUGGUAUAUAGGUUGAGGUCCUCACUUUUGAGAUAAGUUGAAACGGAGAGUCAACGAGGCUCCGUCUUGCAGCUACAUCCGGUUAAAUAUGUCAUGUGACUUGAACGCACACACAGACACACACACACGCACACACACACACACACACACACACACACACACACACACACACACACACACACUCAGAGUCUGGUUUUUAGCACCUGCAAAAACAUGCUAUUUACAUAUUUGACAAGAAUGCAGAGGCUCCUUUUGCCCCUGAAAAAAAUCAAAUUUCAAACACAACUUGACUGCUCAUUUCUCCAAAAGACAACCAUGAAGCUCCAUCCAAACCUGAAGCAGGCAGUUGGUGCAUGUGUACAGUAACCUGAGGGGAGUGAGGUGAGUGCUUCUGAGGAGAACAUGAGCAGUGAAGAUUCACCUUGGAGCUAGAACAGAGACAUGCACAUGAUUAUACAGGGGCAGGGGCUCAAGUUUUUUCCAGUCGUUUAUACAAUAUGGAAAUUAAUGUGAAAUUAAAACACAAAGUAUUAAUAGAAAGGUAAUGACUGUCCUGUGUAGGUGACAGUGAUAUCCAAUAGGCUAGGCACUCACGAGGCUGGCUGUGGCAAGUGUAAGUGAAAGCAACACGCACUGGCAGGAAGAACAGCAAACGCCGAUGAAGGAAAAGGGUCUUUGCAGUGAUGGGCGUUACCAGAGAGGACGAUGGCCAGAGGACACAAAUGGGACAGGAAGGCAGCACGUUGGGGGGGGGGGGACGCGACACGGCUCGGGCCCGCCAGUGCCCCAACGGGGUCCUAGUUUCACAUUAAUUUCCAUAUUGUAUAAACGACUGGAAAAAACUUGAGCCCCUGCCCCUGUAUAAUCAUGUGCACGUCCCUGUUCUAGCUCCAAGGUGAAUCUUCACUGCUCAUGUUCUCCUCAGAAGCAGUCACCUCACUCCCCUCAGGUUACUGUACACAUGCACCAACUGCCUGCUUCAGGUUUGGAUGGAGCUUCAUGGUUGUCUUUUGGAGAAAUGAGCAGUCAAGUUGUGUUUGAAAUUUGAUUUUUUUCAGGGGCAAAAGGAAGCCUCUGCAUUCUUGUCAAAUAUGUAUAUAGCAUGUUUUUGCAGGUGCUAAAAAACAGACUCUGAGUGUGUGUGUGUGUGUGUGUGUGUGUGUGUGUGUGCGUGUGUGUGUGUGUGUCUGUGUGUGUGUGUGUGUGUGUGUGUGUAUCCUGCAGUACUCUGAGAAGAAUAAUCAGCAUAUUUCUGAGGUGAAUUUUGAAGAUUCAUCUGAGAGUUAGGUUUGAUUCGAUUCGAUUGACGCUCCCCAGCGUUCAAGUCACAUGACAUAUUUAACCGGAUGUAGCUGCAAGACGGAGCCUCGUUAACUCUUCGUUUCAACUUAUCUCAAAAGUGAGCACCUCAACCUAUAUACCAGUUUUUAAAUUGUGUUGAUAGGCCAAAUAAAACCAGAGUUAUGAUAAAUUAUGUCCGCGAUACUUUUUUUCUGCUUAUUUUGAUCACGUUCGGCGCUCGAUCGCGCUGUAUGAGACAGGAAAACAUAGCAUGCACACAUUAGCGACAGGUCUUACAGGCGGAAAAGGCUUGCCAAAAGAAAAAAAAACACACACUACAACAUCUCUCCUAUUGGUGGAAAACUUCACCACAACAACCAAUCCAAAAUUAUAUGGUGACUGAUUGACAAGGGGCGGGCGCUUACGUUCUUCCUGCAACAUGAGAAGGGAGGGAGGGACUCUCAGCAGGGAUGCAGUCUGGGACACGUAGUUACAAACCUAGCGACUUUGUUGUUAGAUUCAAUGACUUUUCAGACCCCCUAACGACUUUUUUUUAGAAAGAAAGGGACUUUUAUCGACUUCUUCUGGAGUUUAGAGACUCUGACAUGAAGCAGGCUUUCCUUACUGAGGAGUUAGCAACACUGCUAAGGGUGCAGAGCCACACAUGUGCUCAGAGCUCUGCAUGGGAGACUGAAGCUGACAGAGCUGCAGCAGUUAGCAGGUUUCACCCUCAGAGACCACCAGGGGUUCAUGUUGAGGCAUUUUAAAUUUUUUUUUUUUUUUUUGUGCCAUAGACACUGUCAGCACAAUCUGCAGUUACACUAACAAAAAUGCUGCAAAAAACAAAGAAUUAUGGAAAAAUUACACAUGGACUGACAUAGAGGAGGAUCUACACAAG
This 7966-nucleotide long non-coding RNA is filed under the name Xyrichtys novacula (pearly razorfish). Lineage: Eukaryota; Metazoa; Chordata; Actinopteri; Labriformes; Labridae. The record is from RNAcentral.